GACUGGUUGCCGGAGUGGUCAAACGGGACAGACUUAAGAUCUGUUGGAGAAAUCCUUCGUGGGUUCGAACCCCACACCAGUCA
This 83-nucleotide transfer RNA is filed under the name Crocinitomicaceae bacterium. RNAcentral's name for it is "tRNA-Leu". It matches the Rfam family "tRNA". Rfam says of the family: Transfer RNA (tRNA) molecules are approximately 80 nucleotides in length. Lineage: Bacteria; Pseudomonadati; Bacteroidota; Flavobacteriia; Flavobacteriales; Crocinitomicaceae. The record is from RNAcentral.